RNAcentral lists this ribosomal RNA (460 nucleotides) under uncultured bacterium. RNAcentral's name for it is "partial 16S ribosomal RNA". It matches the Rfam family "Bacterial small subunit ribosomal RNA", at positions 338 to 795 of the family's 1533-position model. The record is from RNAcentral.
CCUACGGGAGACAGCAGUGAGGAAUAUUGGUCAAUGGGCGCGAGCCUGAACCAGCCAAGUAGCGUGAAGGAUGACUGCCCUACGGGUUGUAAACUUCUUUUAUAAAGGAAUAAAGUGAGGCACGUGUGCCUUUUUGUAUGUACUUUAUGAAUAAGGAUCGGCUAACUCCGUGCCAGCAGCCGCGGUAAUACGGAGGAUCCGAGCGUUAUCCGGAUUUAUUGGGGGUAACGGGAGCUUAGAUGGGUUGUUAAGUCAGUUGUGAAAGUUUGCGGCUCAACCGUCAAAUUGCAAUUGAUACUGGCAGUCUUGAGUACAGUUGAGGUAGGCGGAAUUCCUGGUGUAGCGGUGAAAUGCUUAGAUAUCACGCAGAACUCCGAUUGCGAAGGCAGCUUACUAAACUGCACCUGACAUUGAUGCUCGAAAGUGUGGGUAUCAAACAGGCUUCGAUACCCGGGUAGUC